AGCGAACGCUGGCGGCAGGCCUAAAACAUGCAAGUCGAACGCCGUAGCAAUACGGAGUGGCAGACGGGUGAGUAACACGUGGGAACGUGCCUUUUGGUUCGGAACAACCCAGGGAAACUUGGGCUAAUACCGGAUAAGCCCUUCGGGGGAAAGAUUUAUCGCCAGAAGAUCGGCCCGCGUCUGAUUAGCUAGUUGGUGGGGUAACGGCCCACCAAGGCUACGAUCAGUAGCUGGUCUGAGAGGAUGAUCAGCCACACUGGGACUGAGACACGGCCCAGACUCCUACGGGAGGCAGCAGUUAGGAAUCUUGGACAAUGGGCGCAAGCCUGAUCCAGCCAUGCCGCGUGAGUGAUGAAGGCCUUAGGGUUGUAAAGCUCUUUCAGCGGGGAAGAUAAUGACGGUACCCGCAGAAGAAGCCCCGGCUAACUUCGUGC
RNAcentral lists this ribosomal RNA (434 nucleotides) under uncultured bacterium. RNAcentral's name for it is "bacterial SSU rRNA". It matches the Rfam family "Bacterial small subunit ribosomal RNA", at positions 29 to 508 of the family's 1533-position model. The record is from RNAcentral.